This 274-nucleotide ribosomal RNA is filed under the name uncultured bacterium. RNAcentral describes it as "partial 16S ribosomal RNA". It matches the Rfam family "Bacterial small subunit ribosomal RNA", at positions 523 to 796 of the family's 1533-position model. The record is from RNAcentral.
AUACGGAGGGUGCAAGCGUUGUUCGGAAUCACUGGGCGUAAAGCGCGCGCAGGCGGGCUGAUAAGUUGGAUGUGAAAGCCUACGGCUCAACCGUAGAACUGCAUCCAAAACUGUCAGUCUAGAGUGUGGGAGAGGAAGAUGGAAUUAGUUGUGUAGGGGUAAAAUCCGUAGAGAUAACUAGGAAUACCAAAAGCGAAGGCAAUCUUCUGGAACACUACUGACGCUGAGGCGCGAAGGCGUGGGGAGCAAACAGGAUUAGAUACCCCAGUAGUCC